RNAcentral lists this ribosomal RNA (859 nucleotides) under uncultured bacterium. Its description in RNAcentral is "bacterial SSU rRNA". It matches the Rfam family "Bacterial small subunit ribosomal RNA", at positions 524 to 1380 of the family's 1533-position model. The record is from RNAcentral.
UACGGAGGGUGCAAGCGUUACUCGGAAUCACUGGGCGUAAAGGACGCGUAGGCGGUCAGAUAAGUUGGAUGUGAAAUCCUAUGGCUUAACCAUAGAACUGCAUCCAAAACUGUCUGACUAGAAUGAGGGAGAGGUCAGUGGAAUUAGUGGUGUAGGGGUAAAAUCCGUAGAGAUCACUAGGAAUACUCAUUGCGAAGGCGACUGACUGGAACUUUAUUGACGCUGAGGCGUGAAAGCGUGGGGAGCAAACAGGAUUAGAUACCCUGGUAGUCCACGCCCUAAACGAUGUACACUAGUUGUUGGGAUGCAAGUCAUCUCAGUGAUGCAGCUAACGCAUUAAGUGUACCGCCUGGGGAGUACGGUCGCAAGAUUAAAACUCAAAGGAAUAGACGGGGACCCGCACAAGUGGUGGAGCAUGUGGUUUAAUUCGAAGAUACGCGAAGAACCUUACCUGGGCUUGACAUCCCGAGAAUCAUCCAGAGAUGGAUGAGUGCCAGUUUACUGGAGCUCGGUGACAGGUGCUGCACGGCUGUCGUCAGCUCGUGUCGUGAGAUGUUGGGUUAAGUCCCGCAACGAGCGCAACCCUCGUCCUUAGUUGCUAACAGUUCGGCUGAGCACUCUAAGGAGACUGCCUCCGCAAGGAGGAGGAAGGUGAGGACGACGUCAAGUCAUCAUGGCCCUUAUGCCCAGGGCGACACACGUGCUACAAUGGGGAGGACAAUGAGAAGCGAUACCGCGAGGUGGAGCAAAUCUAUAAACCUUCUCUCAGUUCGGAUUGCACUCUGCAACUCGAGUGCAUAAAGCUGGAAUCACUAGUAAUCGUAGAUCAGCCAUGCUACGGUGAAUACGUUCCCGGGUC